UACAUUUUAAAUUUCAAGUCUCUUACUUCAAAAACAUAGGACCUUCAUACAAACUUCCAACCCCCGUUUUACCCCCUUAGGGGUCGAUAUCGUAAAAUCCAUUCUUAGCGGAUGUCUAAGUCUUAUAAAGAGCCUACCUGCCAAAUUUCAAGUUUUAAUUGUUAUAUUUUCGGACAUUUCGUGAUGAAUGAGUCAACCUACCAUCCCCCGUUUUAACCCCAAAAGGGAGUUGAUUUCUAAAGAUACAUUAUUUGGACACCU
This 261-nucleotide unclassified non-coding RNA is filed under the name Melitaea cinxia (Glanville fritillary). RNAcentral describes it as "misc RNA ENSMCXG00005014199.1". Lineage: Eukaryota; Metazoa; Arthropoda; Insecta; Lepidoptera; Nymphalidae. The record is from RNAcentral.